AGCAGCCGCGGUAAUUCCAGCUCCAAUAGCGUAUAUUAAAGUUGUUGCAGUUAAAAAGCUCGUAGUUGAAUUUCGGGGUUCUACCGUUGGUCGGACUGACCAGUCUGUACUAGCGUGUAGAAUUCCUACCUUCUGGGGAACCAUCAUGUUAUUAAUUUAGCGUGGUGGGAAACCAGGACCUUUACCUUGAAAAAAUUAGAGUGUUCAAAGCAGGCUUACGUCUGAAUACAUUAGCAUGGAAUAAUAGAAUAGGACGGUGGUCCUGUUUUGUUGGUUUCUGAAUCACCGUAAUGAUUAAUAGGGAUAGUUGGGGGCAUUAGUAUUCAAUUGUCAGAGGUGAAAUUCUUGGAUUUAUUGAAGACUAACUUCUGCGAAAGCAUUUGCCAAGGAUGUUUUCAUUAAUCAAGAACGAAAGUUAGGGGAUCGAAGACGAUCAGAUACCAUCGUAGUCUUAACCAUAAACUAUGCCGACUAGGGAUCGGACGAUGUUAAAUUUAUUGUACUCGUUCGGCGCCUUACG
RNAcentral lists this ribosomal RNA (520 nucleotides) under uncultured Glomeromycotina. RNAcentral's name for it is "SSU rRNA". It matches the Rfam family "Eukaryotic small subunit ribosomal RNA", at positions 569 to 1092 of the family's 1831-position model. The record is from RNAcentral. Lineage: Eukaryota; Fungi; Glomeromycota.